CCCAGCUGUAGGCAACUACCUAGGUUACCUUGUACUUAGGCAAGUAUCCCACUGCUGGGAGAAAAGCAGCAGACAUGUGUCAGGAAUUCUGGGCCUGUUUAAUGCCAAAUU
This 111-nucleotide small nucleolar RNA is filed under the name Ochotona princeps (American pika). RNAcentral's name for it is "Small nucleolar RNA SNORA74 (ENSOPRG00000022413.1)". Lineage: Eukaryota; Metazoa; Chordata; Mammalia; Lagomorpha; Ochotonidae. The record is from RNAcentral.